GGUGUGUUUUAUACAGGUGUGUUUUAUACAGGUGUGUUUUAUACAGGUGUGUUUUAUACAGGUGUGUUUUAUACUGGUGUGUUUUAUACUGGUGUGUUUUUACAGGUGUGUUUUAUACUGGUGUGUUUUAUACUGGUGUGUUUUAUACUGGUGUGUUUUAUACAGGUGUGUUUUAUACAGGUGUGUUUUAUACUGGUGUGUUUUUUACAGGUGUGUUUUUUACAGGUGUGUUUUUUACAGGUGUGUUUUAUACAGGUGUGUUUUUUACAGGUGUGUUUUAAACAGGUGUGUUUUUUACAGGUGUGUUUUAUACAGGUGUGUUUUUUACAGGUGUGUUUUAAACAGGUGUGUUUUAAACAGGUGUGUUUUAUACAGGUGUGUUUUUUACAGGUGUGUUUUUUACAGGUGUGUUUUAUACUGGUGUGUUUUUAAAGUUUUUUUGUACAGUUGUGUUUCUACAGGUGUGCACUGUACAGGUGUGUAAUUCUGUACAGGUGUACUG
Long non-coding RNA from Astyanax mexicanus (Mexican tetra), 502 nucleotides. RefSeq lists it as uncharacterized. The transcript has 6 exons. Lineage: Eukaryota; Metazoa; Chordata; Actinopteri; Characiformes; Acestrorhamphidae. The record is from RefSeq and is a predicted model, not a curated record.